GCGUGAUAAUUCGCCCUUUAAUUGUGGGCUUGCAUGAAAGGACAAACGAGAGUCAAGCUGUCUCCUAGAUAGAAACGGAAAUUGUUAUUCAGGUGAAGAAACCUGAAUUUAAACAAAGGACAAAAAGACCCCAUAGAGCUUCGUUAAACCCCCUAUUAACUGAAAAAUAGCCUUAUAUUUUCAGCUAACAAGGUAAUAACUUAACUGGGGCGGUUAAGGAGAAAUCAAAACCUCCGUCUAAAGCUCUCUAUGCACACCAAGGCCAUAACCAGCCACUUACUAAAUAAUAAUUGACCCUUACUUCAAGAUCAAAGGAUAAGCUACCUUGGGGAUAACAGAUUCAUCCCCCUUAAGAGUCCGCAUUGACAGGGGGGC
Molecule: ribosomal RNA, 375 nt
Filed under: Nautalvinella irlandei
Lineage: Eukaryota; Metazoa; Annelida; Polychaeta; Terebellida; Alvinellidae
Description: partial large subunit ribosomal RNA
Rfam family: Bacterial large subunit ribosomal RNA
Source: RNAcentral